RNAcentral lists this ribosomal RNA (446 nucleotides) under uncultured bacterium. Its description in RNAcentral is "partial 16S ribosomal RNA". It matches the Rfam family "Bacterial small subunit ribosomal RNA", at positions 338 to 795 of the family's 1533-position model. The record is from RNAcentral.
CCUACGGGUGGCUGCAGUCGAGAAUCAUUCACAAUGGGGGAAACCCUGAUGGUGCGACGCCGCGUGGGGGAAUGAAGGUCUUCGGAUUGUAAACCCCUGUCAUGUGGGAGCAAAUUAAAAAGAUAGUACCACAAGAGGAAGAGACGGCUAACUCUGUGCCAGCAGCCGCGGUAAUACAGAGGUCUCAAGCGUUGUUCGGAAUCACGGGGCGUAAAGCGUGCGUAGGCUGUUUCGUAAGUCGUGUGUGAAAGGCGCGGGCUCAACCCGCGGACGGCACAUGAUACUGCGAGACUAGAGUAAGGGAGGGGGAACCGGAAUUCUCGGUGUAGCAGUGAAAUGCGUAGAUAGCGAGAGGAACACUCGUGGCGAAGGCGGGUUCCUGGACAUUAACUGACGCUGAGGCACGAAGGCCAGGGGAGCGAAAGGGAUUAGAUACCCCAGUAGUC